AUUGAACGCUGGCGGCAGGCCUAACACAUGCAAGUCGAGCGGAUGAAGGGAGCUUGCUCCUGGAUUCAGCGGCGGACGGGUGAGUAAUGCCUAGGAAUCUGCCUGGUAGUGGGGGAUAACGUCCGGAAACGGGCGCUAAUACCGCAUACGUCCUGAGGGAGAAAGUGGGGGAUCUUCGGACCUCACGCUAUCAGAUGAGCCUAGGUCGGAUUAGCUAGUUGGUGGGGUAAAGGCCUACCAAGGCGACGAUCCGUAACUGGUCUGAGAGGAUGAUUAGUCACACUGGAACUGAGAAACGGUCCAGACUCCUACGGGAGGCAGCAGUGGGGAAUAUUGGACAAUGGGCGAAAGCCUGAUCCAGCCAUGCCGCGUGUGUGAAGAAGGUCUUCGGAUUGUAAAGCACUUUAAGUUGGGAGGAAGGGCAGUAAGUUAAUACCUUGCUGUUUUGACGUUACCAACAGAAUAAGCACCGGCUAACUUCGUG
RNAcentral lists this ribosomal RNA (484 nucleotides) under uncultured bacterium. RNAcentral describes it as "partial 16S ribosomal RNA". It matches the Rfam family "Bacterial small subunit ribosomal RNA", at positions 30 to 507 of the family's 1533-position model. The record is from RNAcentral.